GUGCUUAUUUAACCCACGCAUAACCUAAAAAUGGAAUGAUACAAAGAAUAUUACCAUGAAUCCUGAACAAGGAUGACAUUUUUGUGAAGCAUUUCAUAGAUUC
Molecule: small nuclear RNA, 103 nt
Organism: Pteropus vampyrus (large flying fox)
Lineage: Eukaryota; Metazoa; Chordata; Mammalia; Chiroptera; Pteropodidae
Source: Ensembl